Molecule: ribosomal RNA, 440 nt
Filed under: uncultured bacterium
Lineage: Bacteria
Description: bacterial SSU rRNA
Rfam family: Bacterial small subunit ribosomal RNA
Source: RNAcentral
AACGCGAAGAACCUUACCUACCCUUGACAUCUAUAGAAUUUUGCAGAGAUGCGAAAGUGCCGAAAGGAGCUAUAAGACAGGUGCUGCAUGGCUGUCGUCAGCUCGUGUUGUGAGAUGUUGGGUUAAGUCCCGUAACGAGCGCAACCCUUAUCCUUAGUUACCAGCACGUAAUGGUGGGGACUCUAAGGAGACUGCUGGUGAAGAACCGGAGGAAGGCGGGGACGACGUCAAGUCAUCAUGGCCUUUAUGGGUAGGGCUACACACGUGCUACAAUGGGGCGUACAGAGGGUAGCCAACUCGCGAGAGGGAGCCAAUCCCAGAAAGCGCCUCGUAGUCCGGAUCGGAGUCUGCAACUCGACUCCGUGAAGUCGGAAUCGCUAGUAAUCGCGAAUCAGAAUGUCGCGGUGAAUACGUUCCCGGGCCUUGUACACACCGGAGUA